RNAcentral lists this ribosomal RNA (410 nucleotides) under uncultured Methanosaeta sp. RNAcentral's name for it is "bacterial SSU rRNA". It matches the Rfam family "Archaeal small subunit ribosomal RNA", at positions 922 to 1338 of the family's 1478-position model. Lineage: Archaea; Methanobacteriati; Methanobacteriota; Methanomicrobia; Methanotrichales; Methanotrichaceae. The record is from RNAcentral.
CGACCGGGGCGACAGCAAUAUGAAGGUCAGGCUGAAGACUUACCCGAUUAGCUGAGAGGUGGUGCAUGGCCGUCGUCAGUUCGUACUGUGAAGCAUCCUGUUAAGUCAGGCAACGAGCGAGACCCACGUCCACAGUUGCCAGCAUACCCUCCGGGGUGAUGGGUACACUGUGGAGACCGCCGCUGCUAAAGCGGAGGAAGGAGUGGGCAACGGUAGGUCAGUAUGCCCCGAAUCUCCCGGGCUACACGCGGGCUACAAUGGUUGGUACAAUGGGCAUCUACCCCGAAAGGGGAAGGAAAUCUCUUAAAGCCAAUCGUAGUUCGGAUUGAGGGCUGCAACUCGCCCUCAUGAAGCUGGAAUCCGUAGUAAUCGCGUUUCAACAGAACGCGGUGAAUACGUCCCUGCUCCUU